Molecule: ribosomal RNA, 253 nt
Filed under: uncultured bacterium
Lineage: Bacteria
Description: partial 16S ribosomal RNA
Rfam family: Bacterial small subunit ribosomal RNA
Source: RNAcentral
UACAGAGGUCCCAAGCGUUGUUCGGAUUCAUUGGGCGUAAAGGGUGCGUAGGCGGCGCGGUAAGUCGGGUGUGAAAUCUCGGGGCUUAACUCCGAAACUGCAUUCGAUACUGCCGUGCUUGAGGACUGGAGAGGAGACUGGAAUUUACGGUGUAGCGGUGAAAUGCGUAGAUAUCUGGAGGAAUACCGGUGGCGAAGGCGGCAUCCUGGACCGGCAUUGACGCUGAGGAGCGAAAGCUAGGGGAGCAAACGGG